GCCCUAUGAGGUAUAUGCAACGGGCGAGCGUGGGACAAACUGCGCCUGUGCCGGGCACCUCGCUUCUGGGCGGAGUCUAGUUUCUCUAGCUGGGAUGCCAUUAUGCCUGGCUCAGGAAUCCUACUGAGUGACACAAAACAGAUUCUUCUGCACUGGGACCCCAUCACAGCCCUGCAUGACAUCUGCUCACUGUGUCUCCAGGGAGACUGCCAGGAGACCAGCACAGGCUAAGUUCAAUUCAGGGCCCGCUGGGACAGGUGGGCUGCCUCCUGCUUGUGUAGGGACGUCACCUUCCCUUGAUGCCAUGUGACUGCCAAGCUCCUAUGGUGACACGGAGCGGGACGGAGGCCACUGUGGGAUCCCAUGCUGGCUGUCCAGGUAGCACACAAAGACGUCGGGGGGCCAUGCAGAGACCGCACAGCCAAGGCCACAGGGCUCAAGACGACCGUGGCAUCCAGCCACAGGCUCCGGCUCCUGCCCUCCCGAGCACACGACCCCAGCAGCGCUGGCCUCUGUACCGCGAGUCACAGCACGGCAGGAGCGGG
Long non-coding RNA from Chinchilla lanigera (long-tailed chinchilla), 545 nucleotides. RefSeq lists it as uncharacterized. The record is from RefSeq and is a predicted model, not a curated record. NCBI's taxonomy places the organism in Eukaryota, Metazoa, Chordata, Mammalia, Rodentia, Chinchillidae. The transcript is spliced from 3 exons.